This 473-nucleotide RNase MRP RNA is filed under the name Madurella mycetomatis. Its description in RNAcentral is "RNase MRP". It matches the Rfam family "RNase MRP". Rfam says of the family: RNase MRP is an enzymatically active ribonucleoprotein with two distinct roles in eukaryotes. In mitochondria it plays a direct role in the initiation of mitochondrial DNA replication. The record is from Rfam by way of RNAcentral. Lineage: Eukaryota; Fungi; Ascomycota; Sordariomycetes; Sordariales.
CCCUCGCCCAACAAAUCGCUAUUCGAAGCUCACAACGGAGAGAGCAUUGCUCUUUCGCACACCAAAAGCUUUGGGAGAAAGUCCCCGGACACCCACCUUCUCUGGAGGUGGUCGCGGAAACGCGCCGCCAUAGAAGCACAGCGGCUGAUCUCGGCCGCCAGCUUCCUGCCUAUCAGUUCCGCCCGGCUCAUUACUUCAAAGUCGGCCGCCUGCUUUGCUGCCGGUUAUCGGCUAUCCGUUUCCGGGUCAGAGACCACAUGGAUGAAGAUAUGAGUCCGCGCUCUGGCUGUCUGGGGCGAAUAUGCCGUACCGGUGGUGGGUAAUUGGUCGAUGGUGGGCUGCCGCUGGUUCGGUCUGGACAGGGAGCGUCACGGCUGGCUCGAGAGAUUUCGUCAUGAUGUCACAGAAAUGCGAUUGCUCGUCCUCUGAAAGGAGGAUCGAGUUACUCGACGGGGCUCAUUCUUGGUGCGAGG